GAUGAACGCUGGCGGCGUGCCUAAUACAUGCAAGUCGAGCGAACAGACGAGGAGCUUGCUCCUUUGACGUUAGCGGCGGACGGGUGAGUAACACGUGGAUAACCUACCUAUAAGACUGGGAUAACUUCGGGAAACCGGAGCUAAUACCGGAUAACAUGUUGAACCGCAUGGUUCAACAGUGAAAGACGGUCUUGCUGUCACUUAUAGAUGGAUCCGCGCCGCAUUAGCUAGUUGGUAAGGUAACGGCUUACCAAGGCAACGAUGCGUAGCCGACCUGAGAGGGUGAUCGGCCACACUGGAACUGAGACACGGUCCAGACUCCUACGGGAGGCAGCAGUAGGGAAUCUUCCGCAAUGGGCGAAAGCCUGACGGAGCAACGCCGCGUGAGUGAAGAAGGUCUUCGGAUCGUAAAACUCUGUUAUUAGGGAAGAACAAAUGUGUAAGUAACUAUGCACGUCUUGACGGUACCUAAACAAAAAGCCACGGCUAACUUCGUG
RNAcentral lists this ribosomal RNA (497 nucleotides) under uncultured bacterium. RNAcentral's name for it is "partial 16S ribosomal RNA". It matches the Rfam family "Bacterial small subunit ribosomal RNA", at positions 28 to 507 of the family's 1533-position model. The record is from RNAcentral.